RNAcentral lists this ribosomal RNA (443 nucleotides) under uncultured bacterium. Its description in RNAcentral is "bacterial SSU rRNA". It matches the Rfam family "Bacterial small subunit ribosomal RNA", at positions 335 to 795 of the family's 1533-position model. The record is from RNAcentral.
AUCCUACGGGAGGCUGCAGUGGGGAAUCUUGCGCAAUGGGGGGAACCCUGACGCAGCGACGCCGCGUGCGGGACGGAGGCCUUCGGGUCGUAAACCGCUUUCAGCAGGGAAGAGUCAAGACUGUACCUGCAGAAGAAGCACCGGCUAACUACGUGCCAGCAGCCGCGGUAAUACGUAGGGGGCGAGCGUUAUCCGGAUUCAGUGGGCGUAAAGCGCGCGUAGGCGGCCCGGCAGGCCGGGGGUCGCAGCGGUGGGCUCAACCCCGCGAAGCCCCCGGAACCUCCGCGGCUUGGUUCCGGUAGGGGAGGGUGGAACACCCGGUGUAGCGGUGGAAUGCGCAGAUAUCGGGUGGAACACCGGUGGCGAAGGCGGCCCUCUGGGCCGAGACCGACGCUGAGGCGCGAAAGCUGGGGGAGCGAACAGGAUUAGAUACCCUGGUAGUC